UGUUGGAGGUAUGGCUNCCANGNCGACGACGGGUAGCUCGGCCUGANAGGGCGACCGGCCACACUGGGACUGAGAUACGGCCCAGACUCCUACGGGAGGCAGCAGUGGGGAAUAUUGCACAAUGGGCGAAAGCCUGAUGCAGCGACGCCGCGUGAGGGAUGACGGCCUUCGGGUUGUAAACCUCUUUCAGCAGGGAAGAAGCGAAAGUGACGGUACCUGCAGAAGAAGCGCCGGCUAACUACGUGCCAGCAGCCGCGGUAAUACGUAGGGCGCAAGCGUUGUCCGGAAUUAUUGGGCGUAAAGAGCUCAUAGGCGGCUUGUCACGUCGGGUGUGAAAGCCCGGGGCUUAACCCCGGGUCUGCAUUCGAUACGGGCUAGCUAGAGUGUGGUAGGGGAGAUCGGAAUUCCUGGUGUAGCGGUGAAAUGCGCAGAUAUCAGGAGGAACACCGGUGGCGAAGGCGGAUCUCUGGGCCAUUACUGACGCUGAGGAGCGAAAGCGUGGGGAGCGAACAGGAUUANAUACCCUGNUANUCCACGCCGUANACGGU
RNAcentral lists this ribosomal RNA (548 nucleotides) under uncultured Actinomycetes bacterium. Its description in RNAcentral is "bacterial SSU rRNA". It matches the Rfam family "Bacterial small subunit ribosomal RNA", at positions 247 to 810 of the family's 1533-position model. Lineage: Bacteria; Bacillati; Actinomycetota; Actinomycetes. The record is from RNAcentral.